Molecule: long non-coding RNA, 1065 nt
Filed under: Homo sapiens (human)
Lineage: Eukaryota; Metazoa; Chordata; Mammalia; Primates; Hominidae
Description: HSALNT0110232
Source: RNAcentral
CGCAGCCUCAGACUGCAGUUGAUCAGCGGGGAAUAACUAUGAUGGUUCGGAAGGUUUCAGGUGGCAAAUAUCACUUCAGUUCUUUCUUCAGGAUUUCAGCAUCUGGCUAUCUUUGUUGUGCAGUGUUAUCAAACCAUUGAGAGAAACAGAACUUUCCUCAAAGCCAAGAAACAGCUUUCAAAAGGAAGUUUCCCAAAAACUCUUCUAAAAGUACCAGCAUAUCUUCAAACCAAGGCAUUGAGUGUUUGCAUUUGACCCUUGGCCAAGAUAAGGGAAGUUGAAUUUAUGAUGUGUUGAGAACCUCCAGGAUGGAGUCUCGCUUUGUCAUCCGGGCUGGAUGUGGUGCGAUCAUAGCUCUGCCUACUCGAACUCCUGGGCUCAAGCGAUCCUCCUGCUUCAUCCUCGCAAGUACCUGGGACUACAGGCACAUGCCACCACACCCAGCUGAGAGCUUAUUUUGUUGGAUACUAGACAUAUGAAGUACUGAAAUACAAAGGGAUUAGGACUGCAAACAAGUUUAUAAGAUUCCAAGAUUGCAGUGAAUUCGUCUGACCCAGAUACGACAGAAGAUCCUCUCUGGUGAAUAUGUGCAACCGUUCUGAACCUCUCUUUUGAAAACUUUACUCUUCUUCUGAUUUGAUUCCAUAAUUGGAAAUUAAAUGGAAACUCAUGCCUUCCUAAAAGUGUUGUAAUUACAUAUUUUGUAUUUCUUUUACCUGAAGUUGUCUGUUGUCAUCUUAUACAUCUUACUUAGGAGCCAUUGACCUUGUGGCAACGCUCCGAAGCAUCACUCUCUGUUCAAGGCACCACACACCUGCAGUGAAGAUGCAGGGAUUAGGUGUAUGUUUCAGGUGUCUAUAGUAGGCUCAAGUUAGCUCACUUGUCUGGAAACUUCUAAUACCUUCAGAAUCAUAGCCCAGCUUAAAGUCUUAGCCAGUAUUUCUGUGCACAUUUCACUGGUAUUACAAAUCAAUCACUGUCACAUUCACCUCACUCAUCACUGCAGUAAUUAUUUUAAGAACUUGUGCUUGUGCCAUUUUGUAUUCACAAUUAGGUAUAAUUGGC